AGUGAACGCUGGCGGUAGGCCUAACACAUGCAAGUCGAACGGCAGCACAGUAAGAGCUUGCUCUUACGGGUGGCGAGUGGCGGACGGGUGAGGAAUACAUCGGAAUCUACUUUUUCGUGGGGGAUAACGUAGGGAAACUUACGCUAAUACCGCAUACGACCUACGGGUGAAAGCAGGGGAUCUUCGGACCUUGCGCGAUUGAAUGAGCCGAUGUCGGAUUAGCUAGUUGGCGGGGUAAAGGCCCACCAAGGCGACGAUCCGUAGCUGGUCUGAGAGGAUGAUCGGCAAAACGGGAACUGGGAAACGGUCAAGACUCCUACGGGAGGAAGAAGGGGGAAAUAUGGAACAAGGGGCGAAAGCUUGAUCAAGCCAAACGGGGUGGGUGAAGAAGGCCUUCGGGUGGUAAAGCCUUUUGGUGGGGAAAGAAAAGAAGCAGGUAAAAACCCGGCGGUCUGGAGGGAACCAAAAGAAGAAGCACGGGCAAAUUUCGG
Molecule: ribosomal RNA, 491 nt
Filed under: uncultured bacterium
Lineage: Bacteria
Description: partial 16S ribosomal RNA
Rfam family: Bacterial small subunit ribosomal RNA
Source: RNAcentral